This is an unclassified non-coding RNA of Pongo abelii (Sumatran orangutan), 175 nucleotides long. It matches the Rfam family "Metazoan signal recognition particle RNA". From Rfam's summary of the family: The signal recognition particle (SRP) is a universally conserved ribonucleoprotein. It is involved in the co-translational targeting of proteins to membranes. The record is from Ensembl. NCBI's taxonomy places the organism in Eukaryota, Metazoa, Chordata, Mammalia, Primates, Hominidae.
GCCGGGCACGGUGGCGUGUGCCUGUAAUCCCAGCUACUCAGGAGGCUGAGGCAGGAGAAUCGCUUGAACCCGGGAGGCAGAGGUUGCAGUGAGCCGAGAUCAUACCACUGCACUCCUUCCUGGAGAUCAUACCACUGCACUCCUUCCUGGGUGACAGAGCAAGACUCUAUCUUAA